AACGAACGCUGGCGGCAGGCCUAACACAUGCAAGUCGAGCGAACCCUUCGGGGUUAGCGGCGGACGGGUGAGUAACGCGUGGGAAUAUGCCCUUUGCUACGGAAUAGCCCCGGGAAACUGGGAGUAAUACCGUAUGUGCCCUUCGGGGGAAAGAUUUAUCGGCAAAGGAUUAGCCCGCGUUGGAUUAGGUAGUUGGUGGGGUAAUGGCCUACCAAGCCUACGAUCCAUAGCUGGUUUGAGAGGAUGAUCAGCCACACUGGGACUGAGACACGGCACAGACUCCUACGGGAGGCAGCAGUGGGGAAUCUUAGACAAUGGGGGCAACCCUGAUCUAGCCAUGCCGCGUGAUCGAUGAAGGCCUUAGGGUUGUAAAGAUCUUUCAGCUGGGAAGAUAAUGACGGUACCAGCAGAAGAAGCCCCGGCUAACUCCGUGCCAGCCGCCGCCGUAA
This 449-nucleotide ribosomal RNA is filed under the name uncultured bacterium. RNAcentral describes it as "partial 16S ribosomal RNA". It matches the Rfam family "Bacterial small subunit ribosomal RNA", at positions 29 to 523 of the family's 1533-position model. The record is from RNAcentral.